This 382-nucleotide ribosomal RNA is filed under the name uncultured Streptococcus sp. RNAcentral describes it as "bacterial SSU rRNA". It matches the Rfam family "Bacterial small subunit ribosomal RNA", at positions 996 to 1382 of the family's 1533-position model. The record is from RNAcentral. Lineage: Bacteria; Bacillati; Bacillota; Bacilli; Lactobacillales; Streptococcaceae.
AUUUCUAGAGAUAGAAAGUUACUUCGGUACAUCGGUGACAGGUGGUGCAUGGUUGUCGUCAGCUCGUGUCGUGAGAUGUUGGGUUAAGUCCCGCAACGAGCGCAACCCCUAUUGUUAGUUGCCAUCAUUCAGUUGGGCACUCUAGCGAGACUGCCGGUAAUAAACCGGAGGAAGUGGGAUGACGUCAAAUCAUCAUGCCCCUUAUGACCUGGGCUACACACGUGCUACAAUGGUUGGUACAACGAGUUGCGAGUCGGUGACGGCGAGCUAAUCUCUUAAAGCCAAUCUCAGUUCGGAUUGUAGGCUGCAACUCGCCUACAUGAAGUCGGAAUCGCUAGUAAUCGCGGAUCAGCACGCCGCGGUGAAUACGUUCCCGGGCCUU